This 197-nucleotide ribosomal RNA is filed under the name uncultured Ascomycota. RNAcentral describes it as "partial 18S ribosomal RNA". The stretch from base 144 to 197 matches the Rfam family "5.8S ribosomal RNA", at positions 1 to 54 of the family's 154-position model. Lineage: Eukaryota; Fungi; Ascomycota. The record is from RNAcentral.
GUGAGACCGGAGAGUUUCGGGCUCGGCUCGACUCUCCACCCUUUGUGAACGUACCUCUGUUGCUUUGGCGGCUCCGGCCGCCAAAGGACCUCCAAACUCCAGUCAGUAAACGCAGACGUCUGAUAAACAAGUUAAUAAACUAAAACUUUCAACAACGGAUCUCUUGGUUCUGGCAUCGAUGAAGAACGCAGCAACAA